AGUUCACUCCACGCCAUUUAUCUUGGUACGAAAAUGCUGCUGUUUCUCUGUUGGUGACACAGUUGUGAGUGCGAUCCUUUCACCCACUCACUCAACCAUCACCUUCAAUAAUUCUACCUCUUCCCCGUCUAAAGGAAAAGGUUCAACAUCAUGUGCAAAAGAAAGAACCGAGGGUCGGAAUUGAGGCAUCAGAGUAGGUCAACAUCGCCGGAGUUUUCUUCCUCGUCGUCUUGUUCUUCGGUAUCAUACUCACCAAAGUUUGCAACCGAGGAAGAAGAGAAAGUGCAUGGUGAAAAUGGUGAAGAAACAAAGGCCAUGGAUCUGGUUGGUUGUCCUCGGUGCUUCAUGUUCGUGAUGCUAUCAGAGGAGGAUCCAAAGUGCCCUAAAUGCAAGAGCACAGUGUUUCUUGAGUUUUUCAAACAUGAAAACUUCAAGACAGACAACUAAGUUCUUCCACAUGCAUGGGUUUUAGCUGAUUCUGGUAAAAUAAGGAAACAAAAAAUCGUGGUUCUAGGAUGUUUAGUUAUUUAUGCUUAUUUAAAAUCUUAUGGACCAUAUCCUCAUAUCCUGGUGAGUUAUGUACAUAGAGUAUGGAGAAGAUGGUGACAGAGAAGGGUGGAAAGUUCUUCUUCCCGAGGGGAAUGUAAUUUGGGUUCAUGUACUUCUUUGGUUUAAUUAAGUUGCAGAUUGUAAUUAUAUGUUAAA
Vigna unguiculata (cowpea) is the source of this 705-nucleotide long non-coding RNA. RefSeq lists it as uncharacterized. NCBI's taxonomy places the organism in Eukaryota, Viridiplantae, Streptophyta, Magnoliopsida, Fabales, Fabaceae. The record is from RefSeq and is a predicted model, not a curated record.